AUUUUUUCUCUCACACAGUUUGAUAAAUCUGGGCCACUGUGUUUAUUAUUUUUGUAGGCAGCCUGGGGACAAUAUGAGUUGAGAAGUAUAGUGGGUUUCAUCUCCCUGAAUGUUCUCGAGAAAGGCUGCAAUCAUGGCAUCCAACAAUGCCCUAAAUAAGAUCAAAUAUUGCUGCUGCCUCUUAAAGAAGGAUGGGGGCUUUAGUAAGACAUAAGACAGAAAUUCAAGCCAGAAAAAAUAAACAAAGACGAAUCAUUGAAGCUAUAGAGUAGUAGAAAUAAAUCAAAGAUGAAGAUAGGAUUCUGACCCAAGGAAAGUUUGUUCUCAGCAAACCCUUUUCAUGCAGUCUGAACACAAAGCAUAUGGCAUCCUCUCAUUUAUAGAUAAUCACAGGUCUUCAGGAGAGGAGACCACUACAACCCAUGUGUUUGCUAUUAUACUUUGC
This is a long non-coding RNA of Hyla sarda, 445 nucleotides long. RefSeq lists it as uncharacterized. The record is from RefSeq and is a predicted model, not a curated record. NCBI's taxonomy places the organism in Eukaryota, Metazoa, Chordata, Amphibia, Anura, Hylidae. The transcript has 4 exons.